RNAcentral lists this transfer RNA (75 nucleotides) under Paracoccus tibetensis. Its description in RNAcentral is "tRNA_Thr_TGT". It matches the Rfam family "tRNA". From Rfam's summary of the family: Transfer RNA (tRNA) molecules are approximately 80 nucleotides in length. Their secondary structure includes four short double-helical elements and three loops (D, anti-codon, and T loops). Lineage: Bacteria; Pseudomonadati; Pseudomonadota; Alphaproteobacteria; Rhodobacterales; Paracoccaceae. The record is from RNAcentral.
GCCGGUUUAGCUCAGCGGUAGAGCGUCUGCCUUGUAAGCAGGGGGUCGGGGGUUCAAGUCCCUCAACCGGCACCA